UUAAAUAAAAAAGGAACAAUGAUAAUUAAUUAUGAACCGAAGGAAUACUUUCUUAUUGAAUUCAUUGUUAUUCUGCCACCGCAUCAAUGCUGCCUUGCUAUUUCCAUCUGUCUCUCUAUGUGGCAUCCCCAACCCACUUUCAUGGCAUCUCUCUCAGUUAUGGAAGAAAAAUAGACAGAAGUGUUCUUCAAGUAUUCCUGCAAUUUAAGGUAAAAGACAAAUAAUGGAGAGACGUCUGGAUGGAGGAAAAAUUGUAUUGGAGUAAGGGUCGUUUUGGGAAAAAGGAAGGUUGUUAUGCAACUUAAGCGGCGCAAUACGUAUAGCCAGGUGUCUGCUCACAAAAAGGAGGUGUUGUUGCUAUGUUGCUGUACAUAUUCUACAAGGCAUAAUUUUCUUGAAAAUCCCAAUAUUGACACCUCAAUGCAGCAAACAUCAUCUUUGCAUAGAGAUGGUUUUCCAAAACAGACAGCAUUUAUCAUCUGAGAAAUUUCGGGGCUUUCUGAAAAAGAAAUAGAGUAGUCAGGAACUAUCAACAUGUAUAUAAAGCAUCUAACUUUUCUAAUGACAUCUUCAUGGAUGAUGUUGUCCAACACGAAGGUCUCAGAUGAUCUCCAAACUAAAUCACCAAAUGAGAGUGUUAUUUCUGCGUAAGCUCUUCCAUCGCGUCUGCUAGCUUACACUCUCAUUUACUUUGCAAUGGGAUUCCUCUUUGGUUCCUCCUUCAGCUUCUUCUCAUUCCCGGUGUGCUUUCCCUUCUCCUCCGUCCACUGAUUUUAGGCUGUAAGGUUCAUUGGUACUGACACAUGUCGGUGUGGGUGUACUUUGUGGAAGGAGAGAAUUUUAUUGUGGCAAUCAGAAUUACUGCUAAUCAGACUCCAUAAUUCGCGGGUGAAUAUAGCAAGAAAUGCCUUAUAAGCACGCAUACCGAUUAAAUACUUAGCUAAAAUUCUCUUUGGUUCCUCCUUCAGCUUUCUUUCAUUCUCGAUGUGCUUUCCCCGCUCGUCCGUUCACCGAUUUCAGGAUGAAGCCAAACUCUUGUUUGUGUCAUCAACUGGGAGAAAUAGUGACCCUGAGAACCUUCAAGCACUUACCUCCUUCACUCUCGGAAAUUUAUCCACAUCAGGAUUCUACACCUCUCUUCCAAUGGAUGAAGAAAUGAUACCUAUUGCAAACAUUGAUUCGCAACAAGAUCAAACGUGCCGUCAUCUUCGACUCAACAGUAACUCUAGCUAGUCUUCA
Molecule: non-coding RNA, 1239 nt
Organism: Solanum lycopersicum (tomato)
Lineage: Eukaryota; Viridiplantae; Streptophyta; Magnoliopsida; Solanales; Solanaceae
Source: RefSeq, a predicted model, not a curated record